RNAcentral lists this ribosomal RNA (562 nucleotides) under Ascomycota sp. R-MA-4. Its description in RNAcentral is "SSU rRNA". It matches the Rfam family "Eukaryotic small subunit ribosomal RNA", at positions 548 to 1114 of the family's 1831-position model. The record is from RNAcentral. Lineage: Eukaryota; Fungi; Ascomycota.
UUGGAGGGCAAGUCUGGUGCCAGCAGCCGCGGUAAUUCCAGCUCCAAUAGCGUAUAUUAAAGUUGUUGCAGUUAAAAAGCUCGUAGUUGAACCUUGGGCCUGGCUGGCCGGUCCGCCUCACCGCGUGUACUGGUCCGGCCGGGCCUUUCCUUCUGGGGAACCUCAUGCCCUUCACUGGGCGUGUUGGGGAACCAGGACUUUUACUUUGAAAAAAUUAGAGUGUUCAAAGCAGGCCUUUGCUCGAAUACAUUAGCAUGGAAUAAUAGAAUAGGACGUGUGGUCCUAUUUUGUUGGUUUCUAGGACCGCCGUAAUGAUUAAUAGGGAUAGUCGGGGGCAUCAGUAUUCAAUCGUCAGAGGUGAAAUUCUUGGACUGAUUGAAGACUAACUACUGCGAAAGCAUUUGCCAAGGAUGUUUUCAUUAAUCAGUGAACGAAAGUUAGGGGAUCGAAGACGAUCAGAUACCGUCGUAGUCUUAACCAUAAACUAUGCCGACUAGGGAUCGGACGGUGUUAGUAUUUUGACCCGUUCGGCACCUUACGGGAAACCAAAGUGUUUGGGUUC